UACGAAGGGGGCUAGCGUUGCUCGGAUUGACUGGGCGUAAGGGCGCGUAGGCGGUUCGUACAGUCAGACGUGAAAUUCCUGGGCUCAACCUGGGGGCUGCGUUUGAUACGUGCGGACUUGAGUGCGGAAGAGGGUCGUGGAAUUCCCAGUGUAGAGGUGAAAUUCGUAGAUAUUGGGAAGAACACCGGUGGCGAAGGCGGCGACCUGGUCCGAUACUGACGCUGAGGCGCGAAAGCGUGGGGAGCAAACAGG
This 252-nucleotide ribosomal RNA is filed under the name uncultured bacterium. RNAcentral's name for it is "partial 16S ribosomal RNA". It matches the Rfam family "Bacterial small subunit ribosomal RNA", at positions 524 to 776 of the family's 1533-position model. The record is from RNAcentral.